RNAcentral lists this ribosomal RNA (501 nucleotides) under uncultured bacterium. Its description in RNAcentral is "partial 16S ribosomal RNA". It matches the Rfam family "Bacterial small subunit ribosomal RNA", at positions 899 to 1397 of the family's 1533-position model. The record is from RNAcentral.
ACUCAAAGGAAUUGACGGGGGCCCGCACAAGCAGUGGAGAAUGUGGUUCAAUUCGAUGCAACGCGAAGAACCUUACCUGGGUUUGAAAGGCAAGUGACAACCGAUGAAAGUCGGUCUCGUAGCAAUACGCACUUGUACAGGUGCUGCAUGGCUGUCGUCAGCUCGUGCCGUGAGGUGUUAGGUUAAGUCCUGCAACGAGCGCAACCCCUGCACUUAGUUGCCAUCAGGUCAAGCUGGGCACUCUAAGUGGACUGCCUACGCAAGUAGUGAGGAAGGUGGGGAUGACGUCAAGUCCUCAUGGCCCUUACACCCAGGGCCACACACGUUCUACAAUGGAUGGGUACAAAGGGUUGCUAAGCCGUAAGGUGGAGCCAAUCCCAAAAAACCAUCCUCAGUUCGGAUUGGGGUCUGCAACUCGACCCCAUGAAGCUGGAAUUGCUAGUAAUCGCGUAUCAGCAUGACGCGGUGAAUACGUUCCCGGGCCUUGUACACACCGCCCGU